AUUGAACGCUGGCGGCAUGCUUUACACAUGCCAGUCGAACGGUAACAGGCCUUCGGGUGCUGACGAGUGGCGAACGGGUGAGUAAUACAUCGGAACGUACCCAGAGGUGGGGGAUAACGCAGCGAAAGCUGUGCUAAUACCGCAUGUGAUCUGAGGAUGAAAGCGGGGGACCGAGCAGCAAUGUUUGGCCUCGCGCCUUUGGAGCGGCCGAUGUCGGAUUAGCUAGUUGGUGGGGUAAAGGCCUACCAAGGCGACGAUCCGUAGCUGGUCUGAGAGGACGACCAGCCACACUGGGACUGAGACACGGCCCAGACUCCUACGGGAGGCAGCAGUGGGGAAUUUUGGACAAUGGGCGCAAACCUGAUCCAGCAAUGCCGCGUGCGGGAAGAAGGCCUUCGGGUUGUAAACCGCUUUUGGCAGGAACGAAACGGUGUCCGCUAAUACCGGGCGCUAAUGACGGUACCUGCAGAAUAAGCACCGGCUAAUUACGU
RNAcentral lists this ribosomal RNA (491 nucleotides) under uncultured bacterium. Its description in RNAcentral is "partial 16S ribosomal RNA". It matches the Rfam family "Bacterial small subunit ribosomal RNA", at positions 30 to 506 of the family's 1533-position model. The record is from RNAcentral.